UACGUAGGCAGCGAGCGUUGUUCGGAUUUACUGGGCGUAAAGCGUGCGUAGGCGGUGUCUUAAGUUUGUUGUGAAAUCUCCCGGCUUAACCGGGAGGGUGCGGCGAAUACUGAGAUGCUGGAGUGCCGGAGAGGUAAGCGGAAUUCCUGGUGUAGCGGUGAAAUGCGUAGAUAUCUGGAGGAACACCAAUGGCGAAGGCAGCUCGCUGGGACGGUACUGACGCUGAGACGCGAAAGCGUGGGGAGCAAACAGG
This 253-nucleotide ribosomal RNA is filed under the name uncultured bacterium. RNAcentral describes it as "partial 16S ribosomal RNA". It matches the Rfam family "Bacterial small subunit ribosomal RNA", at positions 524 to 776 of the family's 1533-position model. The record is from RNAcentral.